CAUGGCUCAGAUUGAACGCUGGCGGCAGGCUUAACACAUGCAAGUCGAGCGGGGGAGAUUACUUCGGUGAUUGACCUAGCGGCGGACGGGUGAGUAAUACUUAGGAAUCUGCCUAUUAAUGGGGGACAACAUCUCGAAAGGGAUGCUAAUACCGCAUACGCCCUACGGGGGAAAGCAGGGGAUCACUUGUGACCUUGCGUUAAUAGAUGAGCCUAAGUCGGAUUAGCUAGUUGGUGGGGUAAAGGCCUACCAAGGCGACGAUCUGUAGCGGGUCUGAGAGGAUGAUCCGCCACACUGGGACUGAGACACGGCCCAGACUCCUACGG
Molecule: ribosomal RNA, 326 nt
Filed under: uncultured bacterium
Lineage: Bacteria
Description: bacterial SSU rRNA
Rfam family: Bacterial small subunit ribosomal RNA
Source: RNAcentral